UAGGGAAUCUUCCUCAAUGGACGAAAGUCUGACGGAGCAACGCCGCGUGAGUGAAGAAGGAUUUCGGUUCGUAAAACUCUGUUGUUAGGGAAGAAAAAAUGUAUAGUAACUAUAUACAAAAGAGACGGUACCUAACCAGAAAGCCACGGCUAACUACGUGCCAGCAGCCGCGGUAAUACGUAGGUGGCAAGCGUUGUCCGGAAUUAUUGGGCGUAAAGCGCGCGCAGGUGGUUUAGAAAGUCUGAUGUGAAAGCCCACGGCUCAACCGUGGAGGGUCAUUGGAAACGAAGAAACUUGAGUGCAGGAGAGAAAAGUGGAAUUCCUGGUGUAGCGGUGAAAUGCGUAGAGAUUAGGAGGAACACCGAUGGCGAAAGCGGCUUUUUGGCCUUCAACUGACACUGAGGCGCGAAAGCGUGGGGAGCAAACAGG
RNAcentral lists this ribosomal RNA (429 nucleotides) under Verrucomicrobiota bacterium. RNAcentral's name for it is "Verrucomicrobia bacterium partial 16S ribosomal RNA". It matches the Rfam family "Bacterial small subunit ribosomal RNA", at positions 355 to 776 of the family's 1533-position model. Lineage: Bacteria; Pseudomonadati; Verrucomicrobiota. The record is from RNAcentral.